CAACCUCCUUUGCCUUCCUGGCCUCACCACAGCCAUCUCUGGUUUCUGCUCACUGAAAGGACCUGAAGAUGAUGAGAUGAUAGGAGCCCAGAAUCAGGAUCUUCACAGGGCAAAGAGAGAAGAUCCUGCAACCAAGAGGAGGACUCCAAACUGGGAAAGAGCAGGAAGCUGUGUCUUACUGUCACUGUAGUCCCAGCACCCGGCAUAGUGCCACACACAUGACAGAUGGGUCCUGAAGUCUCCCAGACCAGUGUUGUCCUGAACUGGAGGAGGCAGUAGAGGAGGAAGAAUUCAGGACUACGGCUGCUGUGUUGAUUGCACUGGAGAUGGGCAGAGCUAGUCAACUGCUAAGGCUUACAGAGAAGGAAAACCAGUGAGCCCCUGAUGAGUACCUAGCGUGAUGCUGGGAGUAUUGAAGUGUUAACCCCCAGACCUCUGCACGCUUCUUCCUGAACAUGAAUCACGGAGGCUGGUCCAAGGCUUCUUCCCUAAGAUCAUGUGUGUUCCAUGGGCAGGAUCCCACCCAGCUUGCCCAGCUCUACAUUCAGCUGUUGGUAGAGGCUCUGGCACUCAGCAUCAACUGAGACAUUGAGACACUUCAGCUCAUCCCACCACAACCAGCCAGCCAUGACCACCAUGGAAGCACGGGUUGAGAGGAAGGAUCAGGGACACUGAGUCAUCAUAUGGAGAGCAGCUGCCCUGGAAAGUUGCUGGACCCACGGUGGACUUUGGAUGAGUGAUAAAUAAAUCUUUGUCUUUAAG
Molecule: long non-coding RNA, 762 nt
Organism: Callithrix jacchus (white-tufted-ear marmoset)
Lineage: Eukaryota; Metazoa; Chordata; Mammalia; Primates; Cebidae
Source: RefSeq, a predicted model, not a curated record